This is a long non-coding RNA of Prosopis cineraria, 2487 nucleotides long. RefSeq lists it as uncharacterized. The record is from RefSeq and is a predicted model, not a curated record. Lineage: Eukaryota; Viridiplantae; Streptophyta; Magnoliopsida; Fabales; Fabaceae. The transcript has 3 exons.
UUUAUGUCUUUGUGUAUCAAUUAAUCUUUGUUAUUCUUCCCAUCUAAUUUUUUCUGUAUGCAAUUUCCCAUGACAAUUUUCCAUUUCCAAUUACAGCAUAUCUCAUAAUUUUCUUGGUACUUUACCAGAUUACAUCAAUUUCAAUUACUUCCUUCCAAUGCAUUUUCAUUUCCAAUACCAAUUUUUUCUUCAAAUAUUAAGAAAAAAGAAAUAAGAAAGUUCACGAGUUAUCUGACUCUUGACUUCCUAUAAUUCCUACAAUUCUAUCCUAAUAUAAAAGUAACCUAUUCACAUGUUGGAAGUAUGUGUUUUGGUAGAAAAUAUUUUUUUGAUCUGUAUUUUACCUUUCUUGACUAUAUCUAACUCAAUGGCAUCUGAUCUGACAUUUGAUGAAUAUGACUUGGUAGAAAAUAUCAACGACUCUCAAGAAACUUGGUGCAUUGUAGUGAGGGUAUUUAGGAAGUGGCCUUUAUUCCAGAGAAAACCUCCAUACAGCACUUGGAACAUGUCCAUCAUAUUGAUGGAUGAGAAGGUAUUCUGUAUUACUUUUCCUUUUGUUGGUGCGAAAUUACUUGAGUAGGAUUGUAAUAUAGACACUUAUGUUGCAUAGUGACGUUUAAUGUAUUAUUUUCCUGAUCUGUAUAGGGAAGCUAGAUUCAAACUUUAUUACAAUCCAAAUAUCUCCUCAAACAAUUUGAAAGUGAACCUGCUGAAGGAAGUGUUUACUUCAUUGAGAAUUUUGGGGUUGUUCCAAAUACAGAAAACAAGGCUAUCACUCAUCCUUGAAAGAUUAACUUUCAUGCAAACACAUUUGUCCAAAAGCAUCAGGCUGACAUUCCUACCUAUGGCUUCAACUCUGUCCCUAUUCAUGAGAUUAUUAGUAAAGCUGACACUAAAAAAUCCAAAACAAAUAUUGAUCAUUUAGUUGGUAUUUCCCACUUUAAUCAUGUUCUGCAUCUGAUGAAUAUUGAUAUGGUACUAUUAUUAACUUUCACAAUUUCCAAUCACAUUUUUUGUUACUAUUUCAGAUGUCUUUGGUUUUUUUACAAGGAUUUGGACACAUUCAAGAACAUUAAGUCCGGACUAGAACAAAACUCCAGGAUUUCAUUCACAAUUGCUGAUUAACACAAAGUGAAGUUGUUAUAAAGUACAAAAUUUUGAAGCUGGAGACUGCAGAUGGAUGGUAUUAUGAUGGUCGUCGUCCUUGUGAUGCAAAACCAAGAAAAGAUGAGAAUGACCAAUCUUUUUGUUGCACCUGUAAAUUGAAGAACCCAGUUUUAGAACCAAAGUAAGAAGAAGUAGACAGACUAACACAUACAAUUAUUCCUUCAUUUUGAAGUUCAUUUGUGUACAAACUAAUUAGAUGACUGGUGCUUCUUCACAUUUGUUAGGUUUAGAGUUCAUUACACUGUAAGUGACUUCUCUGGACAUUGCUCAGAAGUAUUUUUCAAUCGUCUUGCUGUGGAGCAUUUUGAAAAAACUACUUCUGACCUCCUUACUAUGUAAAAAAAGGUUAGAACAUAGAAAGUAUAUGUGUUUACUUGUAAUUGAUAAAAUUUUUAUCCCAAACAUUAUAAUGGAGUAAAAUUAUUAGACCACUUUUAUUUCCAACAAAUUUGUUAGUUGUAGGUGAUGCUGGAGAUAUGAUAUUGCGUCUUAAAUUUGGAAAUGUCAAAGGAAUCAUAGUUUUGUCUUAUGUAUAGACCAUCUUAAUCUUUAUGCGAUAAUGAAAAAUGAAUUUUAAUAUUACAGGGAAGACCAUCUUCAUUUCCAAGAAUUCUUAACAAGUUAGUUGGCAAAGAAAUGGUAUUGAUGCUUAAAGUCACUGAUUACAAUAUUUAAAACCGUUCUACUAGUAUUAGUGUCUCCCAACAAUCUGUAGAUGAAGAAAUUGUUAAUAGUUUUACAUACACAUAAACUCAGGUACAUUUCUAUCAGUUUUAAGAUUAUGUUUUAUGAAUAUUACUUUCAUCAAAUUAAUUACUAAUUACUCUAUUAUGUGAUCUCCAUGUAUCAAAAAGUUGGUUAAUCUAAGUGAAGAUGACCAAAUUCAGCUUACUCCUUCUCCACAUCCUGUAUCUAAUGGCAUCAUCUUUACUCCUUUUGAGUCAUCUGUAUCGAAGAAAGUUCUUUAGCAUUCUAAGCUGGAUGAUGAAGAGUUUUCAACUCCUAAGAUAGCUAAUCCUUUUGACACCAAACACAAAAACAGGUUGAACAUCGUGCAUAUGUCCUUAGAAGAAGUUGGUGUAGGGAUUGGUGCCAUGUCCACACCCAAUUUUAGCUCCACUAAAAAUCCUCGAUUUAUCAAGAAAGAAAAGUGACUUAUUCUGUAGUUUGAUAGGAUUUGUCUCCUGUUAUCAUUUUGUUUUAUUUUGCUGUCCUUGAUUUCAUUUACUUUGUCAUUUCAGUUAUGUUGUUCUCACUUAAGACUUUGUUCCUUUGUCAGAACCAUCAAUUUGCUUUGUCUUUUCAAUUAUGUGCUUUCAG